RNA transcript from Poecilia reticulata (guppy), 3120 nucleotides. It is a transcript of the gene named polycomb group ring finger 3, with no coding region annotated. The record is from RefSeq and is a predicted model, not a curated record. Lineage: Eukaryota; Metazoa; Chordata; Actinopteri; Cyprinodontiformes; Poeciliidae.
AAUAGACUAACCAGAAAAUAUAAAGUCUAUUUAAGUUGUUUAUAUUGGAAAAUUAUGGCAAUUUAAUAAUUAAUAGCUCAUUCAGCCGAUCAAUAAAAAAAAAAUCCCAAAACACUUGAACCCACUCACCCUCUCGUCGCACAGUCUGCGCAUGCUCAACUUUUCUCCCCAGAGUUUCGGCCUGUUCCGCCACCACUCGGUGAUUUUCGUCUCUUUGUUACACUGAUAGUGGAUUUAACUCGGAUUCAACCCAAACAUCCAGCGGACUGUGCGGCUCUCAAACAGGCUUUGAUGAGAGGCACUCCAUGAUGAGCAGCUAACGCCGUCGGCCGCACAACCGCAGGAAGAGACGUGGCUGCUGCUCCACCCACAGUCGACGCAUGGCGGUAUUAGGGAACCCCGACAUGCUGACGAGGAAGAUAAAGCUGUGUCACAUCAACGCCCACAUCACAUGUCGCCUGUGUGAGGGCUACCUGAUCGACGCCACCACCGUCACCGAGUGCUUACACACCUUCUGCAGAAGCUGCCUUGUAAAGUAUCUGGAGGAGAACAACACGUGCCCCACGUGUAGGAUUGUUAUUCAUCAGAGCCAUCCACUGCAGUACAUCGGCCAUGACCGAACAAUGCAAGACAUCGUCUACAAGCUGGUACCGGGACUUCAAGAGGCGGAGAUAAAGAAGCAGAGGGAUUUCUAUCAGAAGUUGGGCAUGGAGGUGCCUGGGGACAUUAAAGGAGAGCUGUGCAACAUGAAGACUCAUCUAGAACAGCGAAACGGCGACACAAAAUCAGAAGACACGGCGAAUAAGGAGGCCGGAGAGGAGAAGCCAGAGGAGGACAACGACUAUCACCGUAGUGACGAACAGGUCAGCAUCUGCCUGGAGUGCAACAGCAGCAAACUUCGAGGUCUGAAACGUAAAUGGAUCCGCUGCUCGGCACAAGCCACCGUCCUCCACCUCAAAAAGUUCAUCGCCAAAAAGCUUAACCUGACAUCGUUUAACGAGCUGGACAUUUUAUGCAACGAGGAAAUCCUGGGAAAGGACCACACUUUGAAAUUUGUUGUUGUGACAAGAUGGAGAUUUAAGAAAUCUCCGCUCCUGCUCCAUUACAGACCGAAGAUGGACCUGCUGUAGCUACAACGGACACAAUGGUUGUUUUAUUUGGAUCCUUUUGGUCGGCUCCUUCGCCACAGACUUUGUGUCCCUAACUCUCCUCCGUAGAAACUUUCCCUUCAUUUGUAAGGAUUUUUCUAAUCUGGACUCAUCAGCUCCACUUGCAGCUGUUUGGUGUUUAAAUGUGGAGAAAAGGCAUUUAAAGAAAGAAACGCGUCAGGAUGGUCGUCUCGCUGUCGCAUCUUUAUUCUCACUCCCAGCUGGAGAAGCUGCACAGUCUGCAGGUUCAUGCCUGAAAAAUGUAUUUCACAUUUCACUUUUUGUUUCUGCCGCAAGUAUUUUUUUAAUUUUUUUUUAUUUUUCUGCAGGACAGCCAGCAUUCAAGAACACAAAUUCAGGUUUUAGCAGCGGCUGAGGCGUUACUUGGAGCAUUUUAAUAUUGAAAAUGAGAAUAAAAUGACCACAGCUGGGUCGUUUGGUGCUUUUUAAAUGUGCGUUUGUAACAUUAAGGAGGUUUAUUCUGUCACAACAUGCUGGUCUUAACUGUGAUGCAGCAAAUCUGCUAAAGCUCUUCUCUUCACAUCUUAGAAAAGUUUCUUACAUUUCAGUUUUUCAAAUCUGUUUUUCCCAAGCCAAUGCAGAACUGUCACCGUUUCACAUGUGAAAUGUUUUAUUUAGCAGCUUCUUCAUGAAAUCUUUCAAGAAGUGAAACUGGUAUUUGUUUUUCAGGAUUUCAACUUACAGAAACACAAUAUUUUUACCUUCUGAAUGAAUGACUGGUGUUUACUGACACGCACUGUGUCUCCAUGGCAACAAAUCCAGACAAACGCAGCUGAAACAUCUGCACCAUUAAAGCCCUCACAGCAUGGCUGCUCAUUGUUUUUGGUUUCUGUGAAGCCAUUUUAUUAGAAAUGCAUCAAUUUACUUUUAUUAUUAUAGUUAUUACUUAAAAUGUGUUGUGAAACAAUAUGUAGGAGCUCUGACUGUGAAAAAAUAAGGAACUGCAGCCCAUUUGUGCUGCCACACUUUUUCCUUCCACUUCACUUUCCAUUAACGUUCGUCCAGGUGCAUCUCAGUAAAUAAGUCUAUCUAUGUAAUUUUAGAUUAAUUGCAUCUGUACUGAUGUUUCCAAACCUUUAUUUCUGUUAAUUAUGAUAUUUUUUUAAUUUACAACUCAUGAAAGCUCAUUUAAUUUCUUAAGCUUCUUUAGCAAUAAUUUUCUGUGGCAUUUCUGCUGAUUUUUUACUAAACACAGAAUAUAACAUCAGAGAACAAUAUCAUUUUAUUUGCCAUAAAAAAGUGAAUUUUGAUACAGUUUUAUGAACAGAUUUAUUUUUUAAUUGCACAAUUUCCGGCGGCUUUACUAACUACAAAACAAUCAAGAAAAACUAGGACUUAAACAUCAAAUAAUUUCCAUAAAAUGUACAAAAUUAUGUUUACGGUAAUAAUUCAGUACUUAAAGGUUCUUUACUUGCCGUUUUUCACUUUUUGGCAAAUUUGAUUAAGAUUAAAAACGGCAAAAAUUUUUAUAUUUUCUGUUUUCUUGUGCGAAACUCGGUUAUGAAAUUAGGUUUCAAAUAUUUUUAAUCAGAAAAAGUUAUUCUUCAAAUGGCUUAAAAACCAAAAACAAUGAGCUAACAGAAUUAUUUUUCUUUUCCUUGAUAAAACACUUGAUAUUUAGUAAAUAUCUUUAAAGGUUUUUUUCCUUCCUGACUUUAACAGAAACUCUUAAGUUUGCAUCACAGCUGCUUGAUUUAAUUUUGUUAAACGGUAAAACUCUUCAGUUUGUCAUCUGACAGAGAUAUUUGUUUGUUUAUUCCAGCUUCUCCUCGUCUUUGUUGGUUUCUGCUGAACUUUUUCUGUUUUCUUUAAGGUACAUCAGCUCUUCUUCAGGUGGAGAUGCUGUAAAACACCCAACCUGGUGCUGCUGUGACUAGAAAACAAGGAAAAUCUCACAAACACUCCAAAAACACAAAAUGGUACCAAGUUUUUCUGUCUAGUUUCUAGUGCA